AUUAAACUACUGUAUAACAUAGGUUAUGAAAGUCUUUAAACAUAAAAAUAGGCAUAAAUUUGUUGGACUCCAAAUAAGGCAGUGUUAUUAAUAAAAUGGAAAAUGACAGAAGAUAUUAGGUUUUCUAAAAAAGGUACAUAUUAGGCAUUAAAUAAAAACUUUAUUUAGUUUUUUUUUUUAGAAUUCCUUAUUUAAGUUCUCGGGUUAAGUGGUUUGGUGCACCUAAGCGUACAUUCGUCUUUGCUCUUGUGACACCAGAGGGGAAUCCCAGAAUUAGUGACACAACAAGAACAACUGCGAUUUUUGUCUUGAGGGUUGCAAUUCAUUUGCUUGCAAGUUUUUUUAGCUGCAUUGCCCGCGUUAAGACCUUGGCCAUGAACAACUAUAUAAACAAAAAGUAACAACAAUAUCAUUGGGCAGAAAGAAUAAUUAUCAAAGAUAUUAUGAUGUGAUUGCAAUGCUGGUAAAGAUAGAUGAUGAACAAAUGGAAACAAAUAUAAACACAUACAUUCAUGAAGAGGAAAUAAAGCAAUCAUGAUGAUGCAAAAAAUAGCAAGUUGUGAUGACGACAUAUUGUUCUUUGUGAUAUUCUUAUGAUACAAGCACGUUACUUAUUGUUUCUUUUGAAUUUUAUGUUUACUAGUUUGAUGGUUGAAAUUUCUAUUCAAGGUGGAGAUUAAUUUAUAGAUAGAAGUGUAAGUUUUUCAUGCCGAUCCAUAAUAAUUGGUUUAGAUUGUUUGACUUUUUCUAAAUAUUGUGUGGUAAUUAUUUUGGUGAUUUAACUCUUUUCUUUGUUAAGUUGUUAAUAACAAUUAGGCUUGGGCAUUUCGGAUAUCGGUUUGGUUUUCUUCGGGUUUCAGAUAGUUUGGGUAGGGGGCUAGAGGAUCCUUGUAAUACUUGACCUAUUUUCGGUUCGGGUUUGGUUCAGAUAGUUUUGGGGUUUGUUCGGUUUGGAUAAUAAAACUAGGAACUAGAAAAAUACCCAGAAAAAUAGGUUUUCAUUUGGUUUUGGUUAGGUUAUUUCGGGUAGUUCGGGUAAGUCUGGUAAAAUAUAGGGUGUUUUGGAUAAAAUAUUGAAUAAUUAUGAUGAUUCGGGUAAAAAUCUUGGAUAUUUUGAAUUACUUUGGAUAUUUUGGAUAAAAAUAUCCGAAUACUUUCAGAUAGUUCGGAUACUUUUAUAAGAAUUUAGUUUUCUUCAAAUAUUUUUGGAUACUUUUAAUAGAUUUCAAAUUACCAAAAUAUAUAGAUUUAAUUAUGUUAUAUGUAUAUACAUAUAUAUAAAUUAAUAUUUUAAUAUAUUCUGGUAACCGUUCGUUUCUCGGUUCGGUUAUUUCUAAUAGAAAUAUAGGACCAUUUGGAUAUUUGAGGGUUUCGGUCCGAUUCCAAUUUCAGGUAUUUUAGUUCGGUUCUUCGGUUCCGGUUUUUUUUUUGCUCGGGCCUAUGUGUAUGUAUAUAUUGGUGUAAUAAGUUUGUUAGUGUUUGUAUGUACAGGCGAUGGGAGCAAGUGAGUGGAAGCUAAUAGUUUGUGUGUGUAUGUGCAAGCGUUGGUAUAUGACCGUUUGAUCAAUCUUCAUUUAAAAUUAAUGAAAUAACAUAGCAUAAAAUAACAAAAUAAUAUAACAUAACAACACAUGUGGGUCCAUGUAAUUAAUUUAGAGAAUAAAAUGAGAGUCUAAUUUUUAUUGAGAAUGAUAUUGUGAUGUCACCUAACUAAAAACAGGAGUGUAAUACAAUGACAACUCAGUUUGGUAAAAAUGUAAUUAAUAAAAAAAUAAAUGUUGUGCAUAUACAUCCAUCUCCGCAACUCGAAAAUAUUCCCGGAGCCCGAAAUUUUUUUUUCUUUCACGUUUUUAUUUUUUUUCUUGUUGGUGUGUUAAAAUUGAUGUUCAAACGUCCAUAUUUAUAGAAAAUUUUCGAAUGUUGAAGUGUUACUACGAAUUUACGACGAAAUUUAGUUAGGUAGCCGAAACAAAAAACGUGUUACAACUACAAAGUUGGUGGACUCGCAAUUUUCUCGUUAAGUAAACGUAAAAUAUUUCGUAAAGUAGUCGAACUUACGAGGAAACCGUCUUUCCUUGUAAAAACAACGUUAUGUUACGUCGUUUUUACGACGAAAUCGUUUCCUUGUUAUUUUACGACGAUUUUCCUCAUAAGAUUCUCGUAAAGUCGACGUAAAUUUACGAGGAUUAAUUUCCUCGUUAAAUUUCGUCGCUAUAGUUGUGUUUUCUUGUAGUGUAGCAAGGAGUCAUGGCUAUUGAAAGUUUUUUCCCGAAAAUAAGCGGAAAAGAGCCAAGAACCUUACUGGAGGUAGGAUAUAAGCACAAAGUAACAGUAACAAAUUCAAAUCAACCUCAAGCUCAAGGAAGAUGAAAUCUUGAUAAUUAAUAAUCUUCUUGAAGUUGCGAUAAUAUGAUUGGUAGAGAACAACAAGUGAUGUGUUGUGGAAACCAACUGCCUUAUUUUAAUGGCAUUUAUAUUAUAAACAAUAUCACCAUUCACCAGAAUGUGAUCCAAAACUAUAGGCGAUGGAGAUUUCCGUACAUCUUUUGCAGCAACAUAAUUCUUCACGGGACCAACAACCAGUGGCUGCAAACCUAAAUUUGGUUAUCAACCAAAUUGACAUUUAAUUUAGUAUAAAAUUUCCUCAAAAACUCUAUGUUUCAUAUUAUAACAAAUCAUGUAAACUGUAUUUUCAAACUGAUAUUUAGUGUAAAUUCCCGACUAUGUGAUGCCUGAGCACAACUUGAGUAUCUUAAGUUUGUUGUUGAUAAAUGACGAGAAUGUUCCAUGAGAUGAGAGAUUUACAGCAGGGUUGACUUACACAAUGAAGAAGUUGAAAUGGAAUAGACACUAAAGAAAAUAUAAAGAGAUGGUGUUGCAUGUUGUAGAGAAAUGCGUUAAGGUGGAUUUGGGUGUGUUUUGUUUUGUUAAAAAAAAAAAAAAAAUCAUGGCUAAGAGAAGAUUUUGUGGAUUUCGUAGAUGAUUUGAUUUUGCACUUGCUGAAGUUAUUUAGCAUAUAUCUUCUCUACAAGUGCAUAUAUCAUAUCAUUUGUGGAUCAAAAUCAAAUCAUGAUUUUGUACAAGUGCAUAUAUCAUUUGUGGAUCAAGUGCAUAUAUGAUUUAGCAAUCCACAAAUCUUCUUGAAGUUGCAUAUAUCAUUUGUGGAUUUCGUAGAUGGUUUGAUAAUUCACUUGAUCGUUUUAAUUGUACAACUAAGUAGAUAAAAUUGUUUUUGUUAUAAGUAAAGAAGAGAAGAAACAGGAAGUGGUGUUCUUAAUUCUAUUAAAUAAUGAGUUUUUUUUUGUAUAGAGAUAAAAUAGAAGAUUUUUGCUUGGAGAUUAUAUCGGACUUGGAAAAUAAGUAAAGCUCAUUAUUCAAGUAAAUCUAGAAAUUUUAUACUGGACAUAAUAUAAUAUUUAUAGCACUUUUCCUUGAUGACUAUUAUAUCGAACUACUUAUUGAAAUGCCUUAGAUCCUACCUAGUCAAAAACCUUAUAAGGAAAACCUAACCAGAAAAAUCAUGGCUAAGAGAAUAAGAGUCGGUGAAAAAUUAUUUUCCCUCAUGUGUACAUAAGUCAAAUUCUUACACGAGAAACAUUUGGUUCAAGACUCAAAACUAAAGAUGGGAGAACUAUUUAUUACUUAUUGGCUUGAUGCGAUUAAUGUUGCUGCAAAAUAUUCACACUUUUCACAAUGAAUAUGCAAAAAUUAUCAAAGACUUAAAGACGUGAAUUGUCAUAGAAUUUAUCUUAACACAUUUAAAUGUUAAACCUAUUUUCAAUAAUCUCAGUGCUGGACUAUCAUGCUGGUUAAAUGUUUAAAAUCUAAGAAGUAUUGAUACUGAAUUUUAAAAAGAAACAGUCUAAUAUAAUGCUUUACAAUAUAUAAUUCUAAUUCAUAAAAUACAAUAUGAGAUGAUUGUCAAAAUAAAUGAUGGGUUUGUCUAUAUAUGUACUUCCCAUGUAUGAUAUGUAUGAUGUUUUGCAUUACACAUAUGUUUCAGGUAAUACACUCUGAUUGUGUUGUUAUGAUGAAAAUAGGUACAAAGAUAAAAAUCUAUGAGAAAUGGUGUGUGUAUGAUCAGGAAGACAGCUGUGUGUGUUAGAAAUAGUCAAAUUAUUGUCUAGUAAUCAUAUUGGACCAAUUGAUAUAAGUAUGACAUUCAUGAUUUACUGAUUAUUUAUAAAGAAUUAUUUAUUUAUAAAAUAUUUUGAUACAGCGAGUCUUUUUCGGCCAAAAUGUGAAUUUCAUAUAUAUGAUUAAGACUUUGUAAAUAAUUAUAAAAGUUAGUGAUUUUUUUAAAAGGAGGAGCAUACAAUUCCAUUAAGGAAAUGGUUGGACUUUGUUUCUGGUAACGCAACCAAAAUUACAUGUGCAACCUACAUUAUAAAAAAAUGCUUGAGAAUUACUCCUUUAAAUCAUACAUUUACUUUCUGAGGCAUACCCACAUUUAGGGGUGUCAAAAUGGGUCAAAUGGGUCAACCCAACCCAUAACCCAAAUGAGUUUAUUGUUAAUGAGUCAUGGGUCAACCCAACCCAUUUAAUAAAUAUGUUGGGUUGACCCAUGAUCCAUUUAAUUAAAUAGAUUAGAUGGGUUAAUGGUUGGCUCAUCAACCCAACAUCUUUAUAAUUAAUUAUUUUUAAGUUAAGACUAAGUUGAUCGAAAUGAGAAAACAUUUUUUUGUGGGAAAAUGGUUUUUGCAGUUUUUGGCGAAAAACGCAUUUUUGCGGGAAAAUGAGUUUUUGCAGUUUCGGCGGGAAAACACGUUUUGUGGUUUUAGCGGAAAAUGUGUUUUUGCGGUUUUGGAGGGAAAACACGUUUUUGGGUUUUGGCGGGAAAACACGUUUUUUGCAGGAAACGCGGUUUUGCGGGAACACACGUUUUUGCGGGAAAACGCGUUUUUGCUGGAAAAUGCGUUUUUGCAGGAAAACCCGUUUUUGCGGGAAACUCGUUUUUGCGGGAAACCCGUUUUUGCGAGAAAACACAUUUUUUGCGGAAAAAACCGUUUUUGCGGGAGAAAACGCAUUUUUGCGGGAGAAAACGCGUUUUUGCGGAAUAUUGUGUUUUUGCGGGAAAAAUGCGUGUUUUACGGUUUUGGCGGGAAACGCGGUUUUGCGGUUUUGGCGGGAAAACGCGAUUUUGCAGUUUUGGCGGGAAAAGUGGUUUUUCAGUUUUGGCGGGAAAUUGCGUUUGUGGUUUUGGCAGGAAAAUAUGUUUUUGCGGGAAAUAUGGUUUUGCGGGAAAACGAGUUUUUGCGAUUUUGGCGAAAAAACGCGUUUUUGCGGUUUUGGCGAAAAAACGUAUUUUCGCGGUUUUAGCGGAAAAACUUAUUUUUGCGGUUUUGGCGGGAAACGUAUUUUACCACCGAAUAAAUGAUUGAACUUUUGAGAAACUCAUGAUUUUCCAAUUUCCAAUUCUGCCAAACCUUAGAAUUGGGUGGUUUAUCCAUAGUUGACCCAACCUAAUAAACUCAUUAACUUGUUAACCCAUUAACUUGUUAACCUAUUAACCUAUUAACCCAUUAACCUAUUAACCCAUUAACCCAUUGGAUCAAAAAUAAAUAGUUCAUUUGGGUUAAUGAGUCAGCCUAUGGAUCAUGACCCAUUUUGACACCCCUACCCACAUUGAUGAGUAUGGUGUCACGUGCCCCCAUCUGAUUAUAUGCAAUAUGUAUUUCAUGUGGUUACAAGUUGGACAAACAACUUAGUAGUUUUUAUUGUUCCCCGUCUCUCUCGUGAGGGGUUCGAUGCCAAUCUAUACUAUUAAAAGGGAAGAAGUCCUAAAAAAUCUACUUAAACAAGGUUGUUGAACCAUUUCAUUAGAUUUAACUAUUUAUUUGGUCUUACCUUAUAUAUCUCUAACUAUAUAAAUACUUUCAAUAAUUUAAAUGAAUCUCAUUUAUUAUUCUCUCAUAAUCUAUUACUCCCUCUGUUUCAUAAUACUUGAUGUUUUGUAGUAGUACACAAAGUUUAAGAAAAUUACAUUUUUCUAGAAAAAUAUUUUAAAGAUAUAAUUUUAAAAUCAGUUAACCAAUUAUAAAAAAGACUGUAAAAUCUCAAAACUUCCUUAAAAUCUCAAAACUUCAUGUAAAUUGAAACAAAACAAACCUUCUAAAACAUCAUCUAUAUUGAAACGGAGGGAGUAUAUAAUUACUCUAACAAUAAAUCACCAUGAAUAUAUGACAUAUUUUUCAAACAUGUUUACACAUGAUGUGAUUAUUACCACAUAUAGUUUCAUUAAUAGUAUAAAUUUUUAAUGGUUUAGUUAUGUUUAAUAGGUAUAUAAUUUAUAUUUUAAAAAUUUAAGUACUCAUUUGGUCCUUAGUUUGAUUUCUAUUUUUCGGUUCCAAAGAUAUAGGAUAUGCUCGGUUAUUUAUGAAAUUUAGCUUAAUUUUGGAUUUUUUCCAGUUUGGUAUAGUUCAGUGCACCCGUAUAAAUGUACCUAAACCUAUACAUUAUCUUAUAUAAAAAUUAUAUAAGAAAAAUUUAUUUAAUUUCAAAAAUAGAUCAACGCUUUCUAAGCGCCGAUCAAAAUCUGGUUAAGCUUUUUUUGUGGGUCAUAUAGUUAAAAAAAAACAUCUCUUUAAUUACAUUUUCAUAUAACCUGUUAUUGUUUGUGCAUUUAGGCAUUGACUGUUUUUAGUGGAAUAAAAAUAACACACUGCGGAAAAAAAAAUCUGUUACCAUUCAGCUAAAUGUUCAACUGAAAAGAAAGUAACAAAGUGUAAUUUGACAUACAGUAAUAUAGACAUUUUUUAAUUAUUAAAUUGUAUAAAAAACACAUAUACAUUCAUUAAUAUCUUAUUUAUAUAAUAUACAUAAACUAAAGUUUAAUUGUGUAUUAUUUGAUAAUAAAAUAUUUUUGCUAAAAAUACUUAUUUAUCAAAUAAAUUAUAAUUUUUUUGAACUAUAAUAAAUAUUAUAUUAAAUUUUGUUUUCUCAGUUUAUGUCAACAGAAAUAUGAGAUAUUGAACGAGGACACACACAUAUAUAAUUUACAAGGAUAUAUAUAUAUAUAAUAUUUAUUAUAAAUAAUAUAUAUGCUUAGAUUGUAUAGCUGAUUUCCUUUUCAAAAUUUCAAAAUAUAUUUAUUAUAUAUAUUCCGUAGUGUUUAUUAUAAAUGUUACCAUUCAAACAUUUGCUCAAUACUGGUAACUCUAUAUGUUACCAUUCACAUAUUGUUUUGAGCUUUUGUUUUAACCAAACUUUAUUUGUUUUCCAAUAUGUAUUUCUUUCGUAUAAACUGUAUUUAAACUAUAGUGCAAUAUCUAAUCCACUCGUCCCACAUUGCUCAAUCCACUCUUACCAUUCGAAGCAUUAGUAUGUUUUGAAUUUAUAAACAUUGUUUCUUUCUUUCUUUUUUCUUUUUUGUACCUUUUCUUAGGCCGUCCAUGAUUUGAAGGAUACUUGAAUAUGCCAAAUGAGACAUUGAUCUCAGUCAUAACCUUAGAAUCAAGGGCGUAUAUACAUUAUUCUUUAAUUGUAGUUUUUUUCUAGCUUAAAUUAAUUGGACUUAAAAGGAAAUUUCAAAUUUUGAUAUCUAGUCACAAAAAAUGAGAUAACUAUAGAUGGUUCAUGUGAAAUUAAUUCUUUGAAAAUUGUUCGAAUCAAAAUAAUAUGAAUAUCUUCUUUUAUUUGCAAAAGUUGCACCGUUGGGGAAUAUAGCGUAUGUGUUUAUCUUUUGAGAAGAUGAGUAUUCUUUUGAUGAGGUCUUGAGACGCUCAUGUAGUAGUGAUAUGGUGCAGAAGAAAAUAGAAAAAAACAUAUCAUUUACCAUAACAAACUAUGAAGUUAAGAAACUUAUUUUUAGUUAUUACCUUUAAUCAGAAGAAAGAUUUAAGAAUUAAUAGCAAAAAAUGAAAAAGAAGAUAGAUUAAACUACUGUAUAACAUAGGUUAUGAAAGUCUUUAAACAUAAAAAUAGGCAUAAAUUUGUUGGACUCCAAAUAAGGCAGUGUUAUUAAUAAAAUGGAAAAUGACAGAAGAUAUUAGGUUUUCUAAAAAAGGUACAUAUUAGGCAUUAAAUAAAAACUUUAUUUAGUUUUUUUUUUUAGAAUUCCUUAUUUAAGUUCUCGGGUUAAGUGGUUUGGUGCACCUAAGCGUACAUUCGUCUUUGCUCUUGUGACACCAGAGGGGAAUCCCAGAAUUAGUGACACAACAAGAACAACUGCGAUUUUUGUCUUGAGGGUUGCAAUUCAUUUGCUUGCAAGUUUGUUUAGCUGCAUUGCCCGCGUUAAGACCUUGGCCAUGAAC
Molecule: long non-coding RNA, 8252 nt
Filed under: Brassica napus (rape)
Lineage: Eukaryota; Viridiplantae; Streptophyta; Magnoliopsida; Brassicales; Brassicaceae
Description: long non-coding RNA (BNAP_LNC003506)
Source: RNAcentral